GGCAAACGACGGUCCUGUCCUGUUUGGUUCAACAUACAGUAGAUAAAAAACAGAGCAACUACAUAAUUACACCGGUAUCUCAUCUGUACAAACCUGUCCCAUGACGCCUCUGGCACAGACCUGCGCAAGCAGAGAGUGCAAAUCACUCUUCUGAGCCCUCACAUGAGCUCAACACUGCCAUUACUACUGGACGCUGGAGGGCAAUAAUGGAGGUCUUAAACUCCAUUGAUGAGCAGCCUGAAUAUGAUUUCUCUUCAGUUCUGUGAAGUAACGGAUUAACCCAUUCACUCGAGUGCUUCACUGAAGAACACAGAGCUGUAGAAACAUUGAGCUCCUUUGUCUGCUGUGAGUUAAUGGACCUCACCUAAACCCGGAUCCGAUCCCCAAAGGAAAAACCUGUUCCUGCUGACUCCCCUUUGGGACCACCUUCCUUUGCUUGCUGGGUCCCAAAAAAAGAAAAGCUCAUCAUCCCUGAGUAAUGCAGCAUGUGUACAAAGUUGCUAUUGGGGAUGCCUGUGCCUGCAUUGCCCUCAAAAGUAUGACCCAUGCCAGCAAAGUCUCUAGAGAGAUCUGCUGCACCUGUGCCAGAGGUAAUGGGCUUCUCAAAUGAAGCACCCAUGCCUGGAUCCAACCAGAUCCAGAUACAAUUUUAUUGUCCAUUUUCAAUUAGAAAGCCAAGCAACAUCUCUCUGCAAUAUUGAUGCUUUACAACCAUAUAUGCCAACAAAGAACUUAAGAGUGUAUCUGCAGCAGAGUCUAAAGUGAUUAAAAGCUUUUCAGCAUGUCAAAAAGACACAUAUAACCGUAUUGAGCAGUUG
This 818-nucleotide long non-coding RNA is filed under the name Danio rerio (zebrafish). RNAcentral's name for it is "si:ch211-285j16.2 (ENSDARG00000100039.2)". The record is from RNAcentral. Lineage: Eukaryota; Metazoa; Chordata; Actinopteri; Cypriniformes; Danionidae.